CCUACGGGAGGCAGCAGUGAGGAAUAUUGGUCAAUGGACGAGAGUCUGAACCAGCCAAGUAGCGUGAAGGAUGACUGCCCUAUGGGUUGUAAACUUCUUUUAUAUGGGAGUAAAACAGGGUAUGCAUACCCUCUUGUAUGUACCAUAUGAAUAAGGAUAGGCUAACUACGUGCCAGCAGCCGCGGUAAUACGGAGGAUGCGAGCGUUAUCCGGAUUUAUUGGGUUUAAAGGGGGCGUAGGUGGAUUGUGAAGUCAGUUGUGAAAGUUUGCGGCUCAACCGGAAAAUUGCAGUUGAAACUGGCAGUCUGGAGUACAGUAGAGGUGGGCGGAAUUCGUGGUGUAGCGGUGAAAUGCUUAGAUAUCACGAAGAACUCCGAUUGCGAAGGCAGCUCACUGGACUGCAACUGACACUGAUGCUCGAAAGUGUGGGUAUCAAACAGGAUUAGAUACCCCGGUAGUC
This 460-nucleotide ribosomal RNA is filed under the name uncultured bacterium. RNAcentral describes it as "partial 16S ribosomal RNA". It matches the Rfam family "Bacterial small subunit ribosomal RNA", at positions 338 to 795 of the family's 1533-position model. The record is from RNAcentral.